UCAGUAACAAUAAUCUUCACUAGCAUCUUCCCUAGAUGUCACAAAGGCCUCAUGCCAUCUACUAAACUGAUCAACUAUGACCAGUAAGUAUUGCUGUUUCUUACCAAUUUUGGAUACAUGAAUAAAAUCAAUCUGUAAGUGUGUAAAAAGAGCAGUGUUCACACGAUCUUACAAAAGACUGUACAUGCUGCCUGAGAUUCCUAAUAUAAAAUGAAUUCAUGAAGAAUUGAAUGGUGCUUGCUAUGUGCCUGACUGAUGAAAAUAAAUCAGCUUGCUUCAAGUAUGCCUAUUCUUCAAGUAUGCCUAUUCUCCCCUCUUUAGAGAACAGAUCAUUUUGAUCUUUCUCUAAACCUUAUUUAAUCCAAAAGACAGAUUCUGGGUAUUAAAAAAAAAAAAGAAUCUCAUAACCACUGAAGCGCUGGGCUGUCAUGUGUUGUGUGGUGAGAUUUGUCAGCUGAGUGACCUGGUGACUGGCAUAAAGUAUUGUAGGAUGCCCUAGUGUGAUAGUAGUAGCAGUUUCAACAGCCAUUGCACAUGCUAUCAAUGCUCUGAGACACGCCGGCAUACCCUGUACCGGAGCUCGAACUACUUUGGAAAAGAAUGCUAUGGGACGCAUACCGCCUCCUUGCUCUUGUGCACAGACCGCGGCCAUGGUUUUACAGUUGUCCCGAGCAUACAAAUGAAAUGGUUUACAAUACACAGGUAGUCCUAAAGCCUGAGCUUGCACAAUAACAACUGUAAGGGCAAUAUAUGCAGAUAGCAUGUCUGGUGACCAGCAGACAUUUUCAGGGCUGUCAGAACGUACAGCCUCCCUUAGGAUUGAGUUAUAAUGGGAGCAUUCAGGGAUCCAUUGGCGGCAGUAAUUAAUCAUGCCGAGGAAGGUGAGCAACUCCUUCCGAGUAGUGGGUGUAGGAAUCCUCUGAAUGACCUCAAUACGUUUUGGACUCAAUUGUCUGGUGCCUGAAGCCAGAACAAAACCUAAGUAUUCAACCUUUGAUUUACACAAUUGCAUUUUGUGUUUAACAACCUUGUGACCUACAGUUGCUGACAGUAUCCACAGUGCUUGCCUCAUAGCUAGGGCUACAUAACAACAAAUCAUCAAC
RNAcentral lists this long non-coding RNA (1103 nucleotides) under Pelobates cultripes (western spadefoot toad). Lineage: Eukaryota; Metazoa; Chordata; Amphibia; Anura; Pelobatidae. The record is from RNAcentral.